Molecule: ribosomal RNA, 346 nt
Filed under: uncultured Mallomonas
Lineage: Eukaryota; Synurophyceae; Synurales; Mallomonadaceae
Description: partial Bacterial small subunit ribosomal RNA
Rfam family: Bacterial small subunit ribosomal RNA
Source: RNAcentral
UUGAAGAGUUUGAUCAUGGCUCAGAUUGAACGCUGGCGGCAGGCCUAACACAUGCAAGUCGAACGGUAACAGAAAGUGCUUGCACUUUGCUGACGAGUGGCGGACGGGUGAGUAAUACUUAGGGAUCUGCCUUUGAGUGGGGGAUAACUAUUGGAAACGAUAGCUAAUACCGCAUAACGUUUACGGACCAAAGGGGGCUUCGGCUCUCGCUCAAAGAGGAACCUAAGCGAGAUUAGCUUGUUGGUGAGGUAAAGGCUCACCAAGGCGACGAUCUCUAGCUGUUCUGAGAGGAAGAUCAGCCACACUGGGACUGAGACACGGCCCAGACUCCUACGGGAGGCAGCAG